AGAGUUUGAUCCUGGCUCAGAAUGAACGCUGGCGGCAGGCUUAACACAUGCAAGUCGAACGAGAACGCACCUUCGGGUGUUAUUAAAGUGGCAAACGGGUGAGUAACAUGUGGGAACGUACCUCAAGGUUCGGGACAACUACUGGAAACGGCUGCUAAUACCGGAUGUGCACUACGGUGAAAAGAUUUAUCGCCUUGAGAUCGGCCCGCACAAGAUUAGCUAGUUGGUAAGGUAAUGGCUUACCAAGGCUACGAUCUUUAGCUGGUUUGAGAGGAUGACCAGCCACACUGGGACUGAGAUACGGCCCAGACUCCUACGGGAGGCAGCAGUGGGGAAUAUUGGACAAUGGAGGAAACUCUGAUCCAGCGAUGCCGCGUGAAUGAUGAAGGCUUUAGGGUUGUAAAGUUCUUUCAGCAGGGAAGAUAAUGACGGUACCUGCAGAAGAAGCCCCGGCUAACUCCGUGCCAGCAGCCGCGGUAAUACGGAGGGGGCUAGCGUUACUCGGAAUUACUGGGCGUAAAGCGUACGUAGGCGGAUUGAUAAGUCAGAGGUGAAAUCCCAGGGCUCAACCCCGGAACUGCCUUUGGAACUGGCAAACUAGAAUCUGUUAGGGGAUAGUGGAAUUCCUAGUGUAGAGGUGAAAUUCGUAGAUAUUAGGAGGAACACCAGUGGCGAAGGCGACUAUCUGGGGCAGUAUUGACGCUAAGGUGCGAAGCGUGGGGAGCGAACAGAUAGAUACCUGGUAGUCCAGCCGUAACGAUGAGUGCUAGUUUUGGACAUUCGUGACCACUAACCGUUAGCCUCCCCUGGGACUCGCGCAGCUAACUCAAGAUUGCGGGACCCCAACGGUGACUGGGUUAUUCGAUGCAACGCGAAGAACCUUACCACCCUUUGACAUCCUGAUCGCGGAGGACAGAGAUGACCUCCUUCAGUUCGGCUGGAUCAGUGACAGUUUUGCAUGGCGUCGUCAGCUCGUGUCUGAGAUGUGGUUAAGUCCGCACGAGCGCACCCUCAUCCUUAGUACCAGCGGGUCAAGCCGGGGACUCUAAGGAAACUGCUCGUGAUAAGCGAGAGGAAGGUGGGGACGACGUCAAGUCAUCAUGGCCCUUAUAUGGUGGGCUACACACGUGCUACAAUGGCAGUGACAAUGGGAAGCUACACGGCGACGUGAUGCCAACCUCAAAAAACUGCCUCAGUUCGGAUUGGAGUCUGCAACUCGACUCCAUGAAGUCGGAAUCGCUAGUAAUCGCGGAUCAGCAUGCCGCGGUGAAUACGUUCCCGGGUCUUGUACACACUGCCCGUCACGCCAUGGGAGUUGAUUUUACCUGAAGCCGGUGGGCUAACCGCAAGGAAGCAGCCAGCCACGGUAAGGUCAGCGACUGGGGUGAAGUCGUAACAAGGUAGCCGUA
This 1409-nucleotide ribosomal RNA is filed under the name uncultured prokaryote. RNAcentral describes it as "partial 16S ribosomal RNA". It matches the Rfam family "Bacterial small subunit ribosomal RNA". The record is from RNAcentral.